GACGAACGCUGGCGGCGUGCCUAAUACAUGCCAGUUGAGCGAUGAAGCUUGGUGCUUGCACCAAUUUGAAGAGCAGCGAACGGGUGAGUAACGCGUGGGGAAUCUGCCUUUGAGCGGGGGACAACAUUUGGAAACGAAUGCUAAUACCGCAUAACAACUUUAAACAUAAGUUUUAAGUUUGAAAGAUGCAAUUGCAUCACUCAAAGAUGAUCCCGCGUUGUAUUAGCUAGUUGGUGAGGUAAAGGCUCACCAAGGCGAUGAUACAUAGCCGACCUGAGAGGGUGAUCGGCCACAUUGGGACUGAGACACGGCCCAAACUCCUGCGGGAGGCAGCAGUAGGGAAUCUUCGGCAAUGGACGAAAGUCUGACCGAGCAACGCCGCGUGAGUGAAGAAGGUUUUCGGAUCGUAAAACUCUGUUGGUAGAGAAGAACGUUGGUGAGAGUGGAAAGCUCAUCAAGUGACGGUAACUACCCAGAAAGGGACGGCUAACUACGUG
This 497-nucleotide ribosomal RNA is filed under the name uncultured bacterium. RNAcentral's name for it is "partial 16S ribosomal RNA". It matches the Rfam family "Bacterial small subunit ribosomal RNA", at positions 28 to 507 of the family's 1533-position model. The record is from RNAcentral.